CCGAUAUAGCUUAUAUGUGUAACACUCCAGGUUCCACAAACAACCCGGUAUGCUACUGUACUACACUUCCGACGUCCAUAUAUAAAAUUUCGGCAGCAUCCCCUUUGCAAGAUUGCAUAAAAGAGGGAGCAACAGAGUAUAAACAUAUAUCAUGACUAAAACAUACUAAGUAUUAUUACUCGACUAGCAAGGAAAGAUAAACAUACGACCUGAACUGAAUUAACCAGUGCGCAUGACCAUAUAAAAAAAUAAACAAACUUCCUUUGACAAUAAGUUUCUAAUUAAAUCAUGGCUGCGCCUGGGCAGCGUUAUUGUGAGAGUGAAAGUGGACGUGCUGCUACUCCCCUCAUUCCCAACAUGUAUCAAGUACCUGCAUUGAGUAAUGCAAGAGUGAGAUGACACAUCUCAGCAAGUAAAAUAAUAUCAAACAGUUUAACCACAUAAGAACAUUGUUUUACCACCACUUAAUUCCACAACCUUCUUAUUACGAAGGUGCAGCACGUAUACAACGUACAACGCACCUAGUUACCACACCUCGCAGGUAGAAACCACAAUAGUAACAUAGUAAAGUCACACUUCAUAUAUUCCUCAUGAGUGCAAAUGUCUGCAAAUGCAAGGAUGACUUCUGCCUUCAUACCUCUAAGGAUAUGAAGCCGCAUCGUACCCCUCCUCGGGCAACGUACGAUGCUAAAAAUGUACCGGUACGGUCGGACCAUAAGAUCACGACAUAACUUCAAAAUGCAAGAUGGAUGAUGCGAUGUGCAUGUCAUGCCUACAACACUUCAUAUAACAUGAUUCAAAAAGACACUUCAACUUCAUCCAGAUGGGAAUCAACCCCAUAUAUCAUUACCAAAUUAUGAUCAUCCACAAUAUUAGACAAUUGAGAAUUAAUACUUCCAAACAAAUAAACUUCAUCAUAGAAUUCAAUGAUUAACAUAAUUAAAACUUAUGCAUACUCAAUGACAGGGAAUAGGAUGCAAACCAAACGGUAGCAAUCACCACUGUAUUUACUUGCCUUUACCGGAAGUUCGGGCAAAUCCCAAGUACGAUCCGAAAGCCCACCACCUGUUUUUGACACCCAACUUAGUACACCAAUUUCACAUAAUCAGGCUCAUAAGCGACGCCGCACCUACGCACAAACUCAAACCCCGCCGCGGGUUACAUCUCUCCCUACACCCACCAAACUGCAGCGGCGCUGCUUAAUAAUUUCAUAACUUUAAAAUUAUGACAGCAGUGGUAACAAACAAAAACUCCAGAGGCAUUUACAUAAAAUUCCCCACAAGUUUUGUAUACAAUUUAUAAUUAAAUUCCAAUAUCUAAUUAGCCCAAAACAGUCCACAAGAUGAACCCUGUAAUCUGUUUUUCUUUGUCUUUUGGACAGCGACAUACCCAGAUUCAAACAGCGAUAUCUUUUAAAAUAUAAUUCCAAAUCAAGCGCAUAAGUACUCAUUGGAAAGAUAAGACAAAUCCCUACAUGAUUACUAUACUGGUUAACACUAAUUACCCACGAAAAAUUCCCAGAAACUGCUAAUACCACUGCUGUUCACCCACCUGAAAAAUCUGUUUUUUUGGACAGCAACAUAACCGGAUUCAAACAACGAUAUCUCCUGAAUUAUAACUCCGAAUCGAGCGCAUAAGUACUUGUUGGAAAGAUAACAUAAAGCCCUACAUGAUUCUCAUACUGAUUAACACUAAUUACUCCCGAAAAAUCCCCAGAAACUGCUAAUACUGCUGCUGUUCAUCCCCCUGAAAAAUCUGUUUUUUUGGACAGCCACACCCGGAUUCAAACGGUGAUAACUUUCAAUUUAUAACUCCAAAUUGAGCGCAUAAAUACUCGUUGGAAAGGUAAGGUAAAGUUCUACAUGAUCCCCAAACUGAUUUCCCUUAAUUCCUCACGAAAAAAACACAGAAACUGCUAGACUACUGCUGUUCACCCACCACCUAAAAUUCUGGACAGCCCCCCUCUACCCCAAUCGCAAACGCAACCUCUAAUCAAUUAAAUUGCAGUGCAAAUGAACAAGGGAUGAACACAAAAAAUCACCUUGGAUUCUCCCCUUUUCCUUCCUCCCUUCUUCCCUCCACCAAAACGAUUGAAGACUCGCACCACGACGACGAUGAUCCGAGCGGCAAGGAUUGGCACCUUGGGAGGAGGGGAUUGAGAGGGGGGCGGCUAGGGUUUGGUGGCUGCAAGAAUUGAGAGAGGAGGAGAUGGGCAGGGGGGCGGCGGCCAAGGCGGAAGAGAAG
This 2244-nucleotide long non-coding RNA is filed under the name Zea mays. Its description in RNAcentral is "long non-coding RNA (ZMAY_LNC002349)". Lineage: Eukaryota; Viridiplantae; Streptophyta; Magnoliopsida; Poales; Poaceae. The record is from RNAcentral.